Long non-coding RNA from Triticum dicoccoides, 2601 nucleotides. RefSeq lists it as uncharacterized. The transcript is spliced from 6 exons. The record is from RefSeq and is a predicted model, not a curated record. NCBI's taxonomy places the organism in Eukaryota, Viridiplantae, Streptophyta, Magnoliopsida, Poales, Poaceae.
CCAUCCCUCCACCGCCGCGCCCCCGUCCCUCUGCUCGCCGCCGCGCGCCCCGUCCCUAUGCUAGCCGCCUCGACCCAUCCCUCCACCGCCGCGCCCCCGUCCAUCCUCUCCUCGGUGCCCGUCCUCGCUCCACCGUUGCCGAAUCUGGACGAGAUCGGGAGAAUCCGCCGGAUCUCGCGGAGCUGCUCGUUGUCCAUGCGGGGAGGACGAACGAGCUGCUCGUCGGACAUGCAGGGAGCACGGACGAGCUGCUCAUCGGCGUCCGUCCCACAGCCCCGCUGAAGACGGCGCCCAGCCCCCUCGACAACGCACUCUUCCUACUUGCCGCCCGGGUGCAAACAGCGACGGCGAGUAGGCGGCAAGUAUACUGCACCGAGAAGCGAUACAGGGGCAUGAAGCAAGCGAGUAGGAAUGCGCGGCGACCUGCUACUACACUAAUAGUAGCCUUGACGGAGUACCCGGGCCAGCUCGACAGGGCAUGCCGCCCGCUGGUAGACACUUGGUUGUGUGAGAUGGAGAUGAACCCCGGGUCGUCGCCUCUGCCGCCUGGACAAAGCUCCACCGAUGCUGGGGAUGAACCCUGCGUCUGUGAUGGUGAUGACGCUCUCCAUCUACUUUCUCCAGUGGCUAUAAAACAGAGCAGCGGCUGAAAUUUACCCAUUGAUUUCUUGGAGUGAUUCAAACCUAGGAAGCCUGCUACUUGUGCAAGCGACAGGGUAACAAGUUUCAGUUUUCUUAUUGAUGCACCUCAAUUUGCAAGUUGUGCGAAUACUUUGUUUGCACCUUAGUGGGACUGAAAUCUUCCUGAUACCAUGAGUCAUGGUAGUAGGCUGCUACGGCAAAAAACUGAUGCAGGCAAUGGAGAAACUCAUGCAGAUGAUGACUGAAGAAUUUUUCAUGAAUUUUCCAACCUGAAUUGGCUACAGAGGUUGGGAAAAGAGGAGUCCAGGCUCUAAUGAACAUAGGUUCUUUCGCAGAAACCAAUUCAACUAGACCAGGACUAUGUUUAUUAGUCCUCCAGUGUUUGUUGGAAUGAGAUGACACAUGGUAUGCCAGCUAACAAGCAACUGAAGCAAGACGAUUUUUGUAAUUUCUUGGAAAGAAUGAGCCCCUGAACCCAGGAUGGCGAAGGAUCCAAUAUGUCAGGACCAGUGAGGGAAUUGCAGAGCUUCAUAUUCAGUUUAUUUUAGGUCCUUGCCUACUUCAAGUGCCUAGAUUACAGGAAACAUGUUUUUUCAAGUGUCUACUUCAAGUAAGUUUCUUAUAGAAGUAGUCAGUUUGAUUCCUUCAAAAUAGUUGUUGCCUGAUAAUUUGUGUAUGACUAGAUAGUAGUACCUCAAAUUUGCUUCAGCUUCUUAAAACAGAGUAAUUUUGUAAAUCCUAACAGAACUCUAUCAGUCUGAACCAAUUUCUUGUAAAUCUGCAAUACAACAUAGCCUCAUCCGAUCCAAUCAUUGGUUUCAGAUCAAUACAUCCUUGUGCAUUCCUAUAAGAUCAAUAAAAUUCAGUUUGAUUGUGUCAAAAACUUGCUGCUUGACAAUCUAUAUGACUAGAUAGCAAUACCUUAAAAUUGCUUUUGGUUUUAAACUGAACUGAACUCAGUUGGGGCUGAACUGAACUCAGUUUGGUUCUACAAAAUAUAGGGUUGUAUUCAUUCUAUAAAAACUGAACUGAAGCUAAACGUUUGGUGGGCAAAAUAAUUUGAUGGACUGUAGUUUCUUUGAAUUUUUUUGUUAACUCUAAACUGGACUCAACUCAGUUUGAUUCUGUAAAAAAGAUUGUGACAGACUUAUAUAUAUGCAGCAGUCUUUCGCCAACACUCAAAUUAGAUGGGCAUGAUAUUUAAAAGAAAUCGACAUACUGUAGUUUAUGAGAAUUUGGCAAGAAACUCGGAACCGAUGGACUUGACUUGUGAAAAAAUGUAAUCAAUGGACGACUACAGUUUAUAUCAAACACAGAAUCGAUGGACUUUCGCAAUGCAGGCUUGCCCUUACCAUUUACCAGGUGGCGACUUGCCGGAGGAGCCGGUGGUGCUGCUGCGACCUUCUCUGGGCAAUGGUCAAUGAUGCAAGCUAAAACCGGGGAUGGGAUAGCGGCUCCGGGCGACAAUCAGAGGCGAGGCAGCACUGCAGACCGAGGACAAAGUGCUGCACCAGGGCGACGGCGCGGGGCGAGGAAGAAGCGGCGGAUGGGGCUGCGCAUAGGGGAGUUGGGGCGACGGCUCGGUUUAGCGCACGGGAUCGUAUUAACUCUGUUUUCUCCUAGGUACCUGCGCUGGUAUAGUUUCUCCGUGGGGUUACCAAACGAUUCUCUCUCCUCCUUGAUUAAGAUGUUACAUCAGUUUUCUGCUUACAUGGCAGGCUUAGCAUCCGUCCAGGGUGGAGCACUGGGAGCAGCCUUAUAGAAGUAAUGCAAUAUAUUCUCUCUUAUGCCUACUUGAAAUACUGUUGUGGGUUUGUACUUUGCCUCUCAUAUUGCAAGGAUAACACAUUGUAUGCCAAUUCUCUUAACUGUAGUAAGGAUGAAGCAGGAAAGUGUGCUGGACCUUCUAACAUGAAUAUUGUACAUGUACGAGCUACGAGCCACUAUUUUUUAUCAUAU